GAUGAACGCUGGCGGUAUGCUUAACACAUGCAAGUCGAACGGACUCUUCGGAGUUAGUGGCGGACGGGUGAGUAACACGUGAGAAUCUGGCUUUGGGUUCGGGACAACCACUGGAAACGGUGGCUAAUACCGGAUGUGCCGAGAGGUAAAAGAGAAAUUGCCUGAAGAUGAGCUCGCGUCUGAUUAGCUAGUUGGUGAGGUAAAGGCUCACCAAGGCAGCGAUCAGUAGCUGGUCUGAGAGGAUGACCAGCCACACUGGGACUGAGACACGGCCCAGACUCCUACGGGAGGCAGCAGUGGGGAAUUUUCCGCAAUGGGCGAAAGCCUGACGGAGCAAUACCGCGUGAGGGAAGAAGGCUCUUGGGUUGUAAACCUCUUUUCUUAGGGAAGAACAAAAUGACGGUACCUAAGGAAUCAGCAUCGGCUAACUCCGUG
RNAcentral lists this ribosomal RNA (435 nucleotides) under uncultured bacterium. RNAcentral describes it as "partial 16S ribosomal RNA". It matches the Rfam family "Bacterial small subunit ribosomal RNA", at positions 28 to 507 of the family's 1533-position model. The record is from RNAcentral.